RNAcentral lists this ribosomal RNA (641 nucleotides) under Actinomycetospora sp. I12A-02656. RNAcentral describes it as "bacterial SSU rRNA". It matches the Rfam family "Bacterial small subunit ribosomal RNA", at positions 96 to 739 of the family's 1533-position model. Lineage: Bacteria; Bacillati; Actinomycetota; Actinomycetes; Pseudonocardiales; Pseudonocardiaceae. The record is from RNAcentral.
CGGCGAACGGGUGAGUAACACGUGGGUGACCUGCCCUCCACUCCGGGAUAAGCCUGGGAAACCGGGUCUAAUACCGGAUAGGACCUCUGGGUGCAUGCCUGGUGGUGGAAAGUUUUUUCGGUGGGGGAUGGGCCCGCGGUCUAUCAGCUUGUUGGUGGGGUGAUGGCCUACCAAGGCGACGACGGAUAGCCGGCCUGAGAGGGUGAUCGGCCACACUGGGACUGAGACACGGCCCAGACUCCUACGGGAGGCAGCAGUGGGGAAUCUUGCGCAAUGGGCGGAAGCCUGACGCAGCAACGCCGCGUGAGGGAUGACGGCCUUCGGGUUGUAAACCUCUUUCGCGAUCGACGAAGGUCCGGUUUUGCCGGGCUGACGGUAGGUCGAGAAGAAGCACCGGCCAACUACGUGCCAGCAGCCGCGGUAAUACGUAGGGUGCGAGCGUUGUCCGGAAUUAUUGGGCGUAAAGAGCUCGUAGGCGGUGUGUCGCGUCGGCCGUGAAAACCUGGGGCUCAACUCUGGGCGUGCGGUCGAUACGGGCAUCACUUGAGUUCGGCAGGGGAGACUGGAAUUCCUGGUGUAGCGGUGAAAUGCGCAGAUAUCAGGAGGAACACCGGUGGCGAAGGCGGGUCUCUGGGCCGAUA